This 496-nucleotide ribosomal RNA is filed under the name uncultured bacterium. RNAcentral's name for it is "partial 16S ribosomal RNA". It matches the Rfam family "Bacterial small subunit ribosomal RNA", at positions 28 to 506 of the family's 1533-position model. The record is from RNAcentral.
GAUGAACGCUGGCGGCGUGCCUAAUACAUGCAAGUCGAGCGAACAGACGAGGAGCUUGCUCCUCUGACGUUAGCGGCGGACGGGUGAGUAACACGUGGAUAACCUACCUAUAAGACUGGGAUAACUUCGGGAAACCGGAGCUAAUACCGGAUAAUAUAUUGAACCGCAUGGUUCAAUAGUGAAAGACGGUUUUGCUGUCACUUAUAGAUGGAUCCGCGCCGCAUUAGCUAGUUGGUAAGGUAACGGCUUACCAAGGCAACGAUGCGUAGCCGACCUGAGAGGGUGAUCGGCCACACGGGAGCUGAGACGCGGUCCAGACUCCUACGGGAGGCAGCAGUAGGGAAUCUUCCGCAAUGGGCGGAAGCCUGACGGAGCAACGGGGCGUGAGUGAUGAAGGUCUUCGGAUCGUAAAACUCUGUUAUUAGGGAAGAACAAAUGUGUAAGUAACUAUGCGCGUCUUGACGGUACCUAAUCAGAAAGCCACGGCUAACUACGU